This 744-nucleotide ribosomal RNA is filed under the name uncultured bacterium. RNAcentral describes it as "bacterial SSU rRNA". It matches the Rfam family "Bacterial small subunit ribosomal RNA", at positions 28 to 776 of the family's 1533-position model. The record is from RNAcentral.
AAUGAACGUUGGCGGCGUGGAUUAGGCAUGCAAGUCGCACGAGAAAUUAAUUAGCUUGCUAAGAGGUGGACAGUGGCGCAAGGGAGAGUAACGCGUGGUUACUUGCCCUCGAGACCGGGAUAGUGUCGGGAAACUGGCAGUAAUACCGGAUAACAUCUUCGGAUCAAAUGGUGUGAUUCCGCUCGAGGAUAGGACCGCGUACUAUUAGCUUGUUGGUGAGGUAAUGGCUCACCAAGGCUUCGAUGGUUACCGGGUGUGAGAGCAUGGCCCGGCUCACUGGGACUGAGACACUGCCCAGACACCUACGGGUGGCUGCAGUCGAGAAUCUUCGGCAAUGGACGAGAGUCUGACCGAGCGACGCCGCGUGCGGGAUGAAGGCCCUCGGGUUGUAAACCGCUGUCAGUAGUUAGGAAGUCCAUGAGGGUUAUCUCUCAUGGUUGACCGAUCUUCAGAGGAAGGACGGGCUAAGUUCGUGCCAGCAGCCGCGGUAAGACGAACCGUCCAAACGUUAUUCGGUAUCACUGGGCUUAAAGCGUGCGUAGGCGGCUUGGUAGGUGAGAUGUGAAAGCCCACGGCUCAACCGUGGAAUUGCGUUUCAAACCCCCAAGCUCGAGGAAGAUAGGGGUGAUGGGAACUUAUGGUGGAGCGGUGAAAUGCGUUGAUAUCAUAGGGAACACCGGUGGCGAAAGCGCAUCACUGGAUCUUUUCUGACGCUGAGGCACGAAAGCUAGGGUAGCGAACGGG